This 253-nucleotide ribosomal RNA is filed under the name uncultured bacterium. RNAcentral's name for it is "partial 16S ribosomal RNA". It matches the Rfam family "Bacterial small subunit ribosomal RNA", at positions 524 to 776 of the family's 1533-position model. The record is from RNAcentral.
UACGGAGGGUGCAAGCGUUAUCCGGAUUCACUGGGUUUAAAGGGUGCGUAGGCGGGCAGGUAAGUCAGUGGUGAAAUCCCCGAGCUUAACUUGGGAACUGCCGUUGAUACUAUCUGUCUUGAAUACUAUGGAGGUAAGCGGAAUAUGUCAUGUAGCGGUGAAAUGCUUAGAUAUGACAUAGAACACCAAUUGCGAAGGCAGCUUACUACCCGAAUAUUGACACUGAGGCACGAAAGCGUGGGGAUCAAACAGG